Molecule: ribosomal RNA, 405 nt
Filed under: uncultured bacterium
Lineage: Bacteria
Description: partial 16S ribosomal RNA
Rfam family: Bacterial small subunit ribosomal RNA
Source: RNAcentral
AUAUUGAGCAAUGGAGGAAACUCUGACGCAGCGACGCCGCGUGAGCGAUGAAGGUCUUNGGUUCGNUNAGCUCAGUCCUUGUGGANGACGAUCGAAAUAUUUGAAUCUACCUGAGGAGGAAGUCCCGGCUAACGACGUGCCAGCACACGGGGUAAUACGUAGGGGGCAAGCGUUGUCCGGAAUUAGCGGGCGUAAAGGGUGCGUAGGCGGCUUUUUAAGUCAGAUGUGAAAGAACACGGCUUAACCGUGGGGUUGCAUUUGAAACUGGAAGGCUUGAGUAUAGGAGAGGGUAGUGGAAUUCCCAGUGUAGCGGUGAAAUGCGUAGAUAUUGGGAGGAACAACAGUGGCGAAGGCGACUACCUGGACGAAAACUGACGCUGAUGCACGAAAGCUAGGGGAGCAAAC